CAUAUCGCAUUGAAACACCAGUUCUCCUCCAAUCACUGAAGUUAAGCAAUGUUGAGCCUAGUCAGUACCUAGAUGGGUGACAGCUUGGAAAUACCUGAUGCUGUAAG
Non-coding RNA from Acanthosepion pharaonis, 107 nucleotides. The record is from the annotation of a GenBank genome assembly. NCBI's taxonomy places the organism in Eukaryota, Metazoa, Mollusca, Cephalopoda, Sepiida, Sepiidae.